Molecule: long non-coding RNA, 878 nt
Organism: Girardinichthys multiradiatus
Lineage: Eukaryota; Metazoa; Chordata; Actinopteri; Cyprinodontiformes; Goodeidae
Exons: 3
Source: RefSeq, a predicted model, not a curated record
CACAGCGAAGACGCGGAACGCCUUCCCUCCAGGAGGGUUUUGAAGGCUGCCGGGAAGAGAGGGACAAGAAGAGGAGUCAGUUUGGGUGCAGUGUUUUGCUAGGAGACAUAUGACAGAAACUAUGCAGACCAUCUAAAUGCAUAAUUACACCUGGUAUUAGCUUCACCUAAAAUACCACAUGUAUGACUCCAGCUGGCUGCAUUCCACCUGCGAGAGACCCACUGUCUCAGCAUGUUUGGAGAAGUCCUGCCCCCUUGGCAAGCGAUGCGAGUUUCAUGAUGCUGGAAGGUGUUCUGGAGAUGCAAGGAUUAUCCUGGAUGCUCUAAAAAGGAUAAAUAAAUAUCUGGGCCCAUCAGAGACUCUCUUCUGGGAUUUAUUGAUGUCAAGGACUUCUACAUUUAGGCUGUGAAACGUAAAAUGUGCUUUUCUAGUCAGUCUGAAAUAUAGAUUUGAUAGGUUUUCUUGUAGUUCCUACUGGAUAAAUAUACUCAAAUGAAACCUGUGUAAUUUUAAGUUUUUUUUUUUCUUUUUACCAGUUUUGCCAAUCAUUGCAGAUGCUGUGUGCUUUAUUUUCAUACUUAUCUUUCCUAGGUAACAUGAAUUAUGUCAUGACAACUGCUAUCAUUCACUAUGUCAAUUAUUUUGUUAAACAGCAAACGCAUGCUGUUAUUCAGCAUGUUCUCUUAUGUAAUUAAUUGAUUAAGUAAUUAAUUAUAUUUGGAUAACUGAUUCUAAAGAUGUUUUAUGUAAAGGUAUGAGCUAUUUCUCAUUCCUUCUUCAUCAGUAAAGCAUGUAAAAAGUAAUGAGAUAAUUACAAAGUGGGCUGUCUUAAAUGUUGCUUCCAGGGACAUAAAGCUAGGCUGAAACUGUUUGAGAAC